This 764-nucleotide long non-coding RNA is filed under the name Rattus norvegicus (Norway rat). RNAcentral describes it as "long non-coding RNA NONRATT002243". The record is from RNAcentral. Lineage: Eukaryota; Metazoa; Chordata; Mammalia; Rodentia; Muridae.
GGCCCUCAAAAUGAUUGUGGAUCCUGUGGAGCCUCAUGGUGAGAUGAAGUUUCAGUGGGAUCUCAAUGCCUGGACCAAGAGUGCUGAAGCCUUUGGUAAGAUUGUGGCUGAGCGUCCUGGUACAAACUCCACGGGUCCUGGGCCCAUGGCUCCUCCAAGAGCCCCAGGCCCCCUAAGCAAGCAAGGUUCUGGUAGUAGCCAGGUGAGCUGGGUAGAGGAACCAAGGAGAGGGAAUGAGGGCCAUGGGGGUUUACUUAUAUCCCUGCUGAUGGUACAUGUUCUGUUCUUCUGUCUUUAGCCCAUGGAAGUACAAGAGGGCUAUGGCUUUGGGACAGGUAGGUAGCUUUGCCUAGGAAAUUGGGCUUGGUAAGUACCCUCCCUGUCUUUGUCUUUUCUGCCAACUCUUUUGUUUUCUGAGCAGAUGAUCCCUACUCAAGUGCAGAGCCACAUGUAUCAGGCAUGAAGCGGUAAGUAUGGCAACCCAUUGAAGUAGCAGGGGGUACAGGAUUGGUGUGGUAGGGAUGCAUGUGAGCUCAUGACAAGAUAUACUAAUAGGUCCCGCUCUGGUGAGGGAGAAGUAAGUGGCCUCAUGAGGAAGGUGCCACGUGUGAGCCUUGAACGCCUGGAUCUGGAUCUCACCUCUGAUAGCCAGCCACCAGUCUUCAAGGUCUUUCCUGGAAGCACCACUGAGGACUACAAUCUAAUUGUUAUUGAGCGUGGUGCUGCUGCAGCAGCCGCUGGCCAGGCUGGGACUGUGCCACCAG